Molecule: ribosomal RNA, 315 nt
Filed under: Triticum aestivum (bread wheat)
Lineage: Eukaryota; Viridiplantae; Streptophyta; Magnoliopsida; Poales; Poaceae
Description: partial small subunit ribosomal RNA
Source: RNAcentral
AUGUUGGGAGAAGUGGCUACGAAUGAAGAGCAUGACGGGCUGGUCUGGAGACUCAAUGAGAAAAAUAGAUUUGUGGUGAGGGACUUAUACUUGUUUUUCAAAUCAUCUCCCCUUGCGGGGUUUAGAGGGAUUUGGAAACUUAAAACGCCAUUGAAGAUCAAGAUCUUCUUAUGGCUGAUGAUCAAAAAAAGCAUCCUCACAAAGGAUAACCUGAUCAAGAGAGGGUGGACUAAAAAUGAGGAAUGCCACUUUUGUAGUGGUAAGGAGAGUAUUGAUCACCUGAUGUUCUAGUGUGGACUGGCCAGAUUUGUUUGA